Molecule: non-coding RNA, 77 nt
Organism: Devosia riboflavina
Lineage: Bacteria; Pseudomonadati; Pseudomonadota; Alphaproteobacteria; Hyphomicrobiales; Devosiaceae
Source: Rfam
CGCAAGGGGUUUGCGAUUACCCCGUGAGGCGCCAGCCGAAGUAUCGCGUCCAUUGUCAAUCCAGGACGCACGCCAUG